UGGCGGACGGGUGAGAAACACGUGGGUAACCUGCCUCAUAGAGGGGAAUAGCCUUUCGAAAGGAAGAUUAAUACCGCAUAAGAUUGUAGUACCGCAUGGUACAGCAAUUAAAGGAGUAAUCCGCUAUGAGAUGGACCCGCGUCGCAUUAGCUAGUUGGUGAGGUAACGGCUCACCAAGGCGACGAUGCGUAGCCGACCUGAGAGGGUGAUCGGCCACAUUGGGACUGAGACACGGCCCAGACUCCUACGGGAGGCAGCAGUGGGGAAUAUUGCACAAUGGGGGAAACCCUGAUGCAGCAACGCCGCGUGAGUGAUGACGGUCUUCGGAUUGUAAAGCUCUGUCUUCAGGGACGAUAAUGACGGUACCUGAGGAGGAAGCCACGGCUAACUACGUGCCAGCAGCCGCGGUAAU
RNAcentral lists this ribosomal RNA (412 nucleotides) under uncultured bacterium. RNAcentral's name for it is "bacterial SSU rRNA". It matches the Rfam family "Bacterial small subunit ribosomal RNA", at positions 96 to 524 of the family's 1533-position model. The record is from RNAcentral.